Fukomys damarensis (Damara mole-rat) is the source of this 387-nucleotide long non-coding RNA. RefSeq lists it as uncharacterized. The transcript has 4 exons. The record is from RefSeq and is a predicted model, not a curated record. Lineage: Eukaryota; Metazoa; Chordata; Mammalia; Rodentia; Bathyergidae.
CAAAGUUGCAUUCAAACACACUUUGAAACAACAAGAGUUAACCAUUAAUUCUAGCCUAACUUCAAUGCCAGAAUCUACAAAGGAAGAAACAAACAAACAUGGUAAGUCUACCAAACGUAUUGAUUUGCGAUAUAGUAAGAAGAGGAGACCAGCUGCUGGGAGUUAGCAACUAGGACUAGGACCAGAGUCACUCAUCCUGGGCUGGUUCUGCCAUGGACCUGUGAAGAUUCCUUGCCCUCCAUGAAAGCUCAGCAAUGAGACUAUUGCAGGAGUUGUGACCAGAAAAGUGCAGCCCAACAGGUCUCCUCUACACACCCAGCCUGGACCCUUGAUGCAAUGCUCGGAAACAAAUAAAGAAGGAGGAGGAGGAGGAUGCGAAGAAGAGGA